CCUCAGAUAAUGUCUCCAAUGCCCACAGUAGGAAGGACUCACCCACCCAGAAGGAGAAUCCAGGCAGAAUCCGGCACCAGAGUCCUCAGAUAAUGUCUCCAAUGCCCACAGUAGGAAGGACUCACCCACCCAGAAGGAGAAUCCAGGCAGAAUCCGGCACCAGACUCCUCAGAUAAUGUCUCCAAUGCCCACAGUAGGAAGGACUCACCCACCCAGAAGGAGAAUCCAGGCAGAAUCCGGCACCAGACUCCUCAGAUAAUGUCUCCAAUGCCCACAGUAGGAAGGACUCACCCACCCAGAAGGAGAAUCCAGCUGGAGUGGGAGGAGAAAGGCAUAGCCUAGGAGUCAGCGGUGGAAGAGAAAGCUUAUUGGCUCAGAUUGAGGAAGACAUCUAAGUCAAUGGAGAAAACACCACUAACGGCUGAGUAAAUGGGGAAAUGCCUGUACUAACCCUAUAGGAUCAUUGUGAAUGUUAAAAAAGUUCUGUGAUGGCUAAUUUCAUGUGUCAGCUGGACAGAGUUAAAAGAUGCCAAGAGAGCUGGUGAAACAUUUCUGGAUAUGUCUCUCUGAAGGUGUGUCUGGAAGAGGGUGGCACCUGAAUCAGUGGACCCUGUGAAGCAAAUGGCCCUCUAGAGUGUCAAUGGGCAUCAUCUAAUGCAUCGAGGUUCUAAAUAGAACAAAACAACCAAUGAAGAUGAAAUUUGCUCUCUGCCUAACUACUUGUGCUGAGAUAUUGAUCUUUUCCUGACUCUACUACUUCUGGUUCUCAGGCCUUCAUCCUUGCACUAGAAGCUACAUUAUCUCCAGCUUUCAGCCCUUUGAACUACAUCACCAGCUUUCCUGAAUUUUACAGAGGGCAGAUCAUGGGACUUCUCAGCCUCUAAACUCAUGUCUGGAGGUCAGAAGGCCAAAAAAUGGGUCUCGCUGAGCUACAAUCAAGGUGUCAUCAGGCUGUGUCCUUUCCUGGAGGUUCUAGAAGAGAAUCGUAUCCUUGCUCUUUUCCCACUUCCAGAGGCUGCCACAUUCCUUGACUUGUGGCUCCUCCGUCUGUCUUCAAAGCCAGAGACAGAUGGUGAAUGGAGUCCUUUCACAUGGCUCACUCUGCCCUUGCUCCUGUCGUCACAUUCCCUUCUUUGUCUAACUUUUCUGCCUCCUUUCUCCACUCUUGUCAUUACCUUGGGCCCAUCUGAAAAUCCAGAAUCAUCCCCCAAAUUAAAGUCAGUGGACUAGCAACUUUAAUUCCACCUGCAACCUUAUUUCCCUUCCACCAUGAGCCUAACCUCACCACGAGUGUCAGGGAUUUGCACAUGGACAUCUUCGGGAACCCCUUCAUGAGUGGUUGGGGGGAUGUGGCCAGAAAGACGGCAGCAGCAGGAUGCGCGGGAACUCUGCAGCUGCGCUGAGGCAUCUGAGAGCCAAGG
Long non-coding RNA from Callithrix jacchus (white-tufted-ear marmoset), 1421 nucleotides. NCBI's taxonomy places the organism in Eukaryota, Metazoa, Chordata, Mammalia, Primates, Cebidae. The record is from Ensembl.